CCCUUAGAUGUUCUGGGCGGCCCGCGCACUACAAUGGCGCUUUCAGCGAGUUCCUAUGUUGAAUUUUCCUUGGUAUUCUUGGAAGCGGCGUCUGGACUUGGGAUAGAUCCUUGUAAUUGUUGGUUUUGAACGAGGAAUUCCUUGUAAUCGCGGUUGAUCAGCUCGCGUUGAAUACGUCCCUGCCCUUUGUACACACCGCCCGUCGCUCCUACCGAUGAAUCGUCCGGUGAAGUUCACAGAGUGGCGGUUCGUGGAGUUGCUCGCGAAGUGAAAUGGACCUCACGAUUUAGAGGAAGGAGAAGUCGUAACA
This 310-nucleotide ribosomal RNA is filed under the name uncultured eukaryote. RNAcentral describes it as "partial 18S ribosomal RNA". It matches the Rfam family "Eukaryotic small subunit ribosomal RNA", at positions 1470 to 1796 of the family's 1831-position model. The record is from RNAcentral.